This 558-nucleotide ribosomal RNA is filed under the name fungal sp. GZ-2010a. RNAcentral's name for it is "eukaryotic LSU rRNA". The stretch from base 229 to 382 matches the Rfam family "5.8S ribosomal RNA". The record is from RNAcentral. Lineage: Eukaryota; Fungi.
UGGAAGUAAAAAGUCGUAACAAGGUCUCCGUUGGUGAACCAGCGGAGGGAUCAUUACUGAGUUUACGCUCUACAACCCUUUGUGAACAUACCUAUAACUGUUGCUUCGGCGGGUAGGGUCUCCGUGACCCUCCCGGCCUCCCGCCCCCGGGCGGGUCGGCGCCCGCCGGAGGAUAACCAAACUCUGAUUUAACGACGUUUCUUCUGAGUGGUACAAGCAAAUAAUCAAAACUUUUAACAACGGAUCUCUUGGUUCUGGCAUCGAUGAAGAACGCAGCGAAAUGCGAUAAGUAAUGUGAAUUGCAGAAUUCAGUGAAUCAUCGAAUCUUUGAACGCACAUUGCGCCCGCCAGCAUUCUGGCGGGCAUGCCUGUUCGAGCGUCAUUUCAACCCUCAAGCUCUGCUUGGUGUUGGGGCCCUACAGCUGAUGUAGGCCCUCAAAGGUAGUGGCGGACCCUCCCGGAGCCUCCUUUGCGUAGUAACUUUACGUCUCGCACUGGGAUCCGGAGGGACUCUUGCCGUAAAACCCCCAAUUUUCCAAAGGUUGACCUCGGAUCAGG